Molecule: transfer RNA, 71 nt
Filed under: Camelus bactrianus (Bactrian camel)
Lineage: Eukaryota; Metazoa; Chordata; Mammalia; Artiodactyla; Camelidae
Also listed under: 2 other names
Rfam family: tRNA
About the family: Transfer RNA (tRNA) molecules are approximately 80 nucleotides in length. Their secondary structure includes four short double-helical elements and three loops (D, anti-codon, and T loops). Further hydrogen bonds mediate the characteristic L-shaped molecular structure. tRNAs have two regions of fundamental functional importance: the anti-codon, which is responsible for specific mRNA codon recognition, and the 3' end, to which the tRNAs corresponding amino acid is attached (by aminoacyl-tRNA synthetases). tRNAs cope with the degeneracy of the genetic code in two manners: having more than one tRNA (with a specific anti-codon) for a particular amino acid; and 'wobble' base-pairing, i.e. permitting non-standard base-pairing at the 3rd anti-codon position.
Source: Rfam by way of RNAcentral
GAGGGUAUAGCUCAUGGUAGAGCAUGUGCUUAGCAUGUGAGAGGUCCUAGGUUCAAUUCCCAGUACCUCUC